CUGACCUUGUUUGUAGGUGACCUGGGGUGGACAUGGUGUCCCGGAAACCCCGCUUCCUUGCCUGGGGAGAGCAGAACCUCCUGGGCCAGGCAGAGUCUCCUGGAAUCCUGGGGAAAUGCUGGGUUAGAACAGGAGGAGCUUGGAGCAUCUCAUGGAAACAAGUGCCACCUCCCUCCAGAAUGCCGCACUUGCUCCUGUUCCUCGGAGAAAGACGAGCCUUUCCAGCAGAAUGGAGCAGCCACGGAUACACACCCGCUCCCACCCACACACUCGCGCCGGGCCCGGGCCGCCAGGCGUGGAUGCACGCACACGCAUGCACACGUGCACACGCAUGGACACGCUCGUGCUGCAAGGCCAUGGGCCACCGUGUGCUGUUCCGUGCACAUUUAUUCUUCUCUGAGGACCCAGGCCGGCUUGUCCGUGAAGUGCCAACAUUAGGGGCUGUGCAGGGCAGGGUGAGCGAGGACUGGCCGCCAGCGCUGGCCCACACUGCUGCGGCCAGUGGCCUGGACGACCAAGGACGAGGCCGGGGCCUUGAGAAAAAAGUCCCAGCAAUGAGGCAGGGACCUCACAGCAGAGGGAGCUGGACCCAACCUGUUUUCAAGACACGAAUCUGCUGCAGCCCCCGACGGGCCCCAAGAGACUCUGCCUUGAGUCUUUUCUUAGGAGUCCACCCACGGCCGCAUCUCCAACUAGAUCAAGCCCACGGCUUUUCACACUGCUGGACCAGACACCACGAGAGAUGUUCGGUCAACACUGUGCAUAUCUCAACUUUCAGGUGGACGCUGCUGCCCGGAAAUGACUUUCACUUAUUUUCAAUCGGUCUACUUAGAUAAAGAAAAUCGGCAUUGACUACGCUGUGACCAAGACAGCUUAGGGAAGAAGGGCAGGGUGGCUGCUGACCGCAGGCUCUCACCAGACCUGUGUACGAUGGGUGGGCGAGCAAGUGUCCAUGAGUGCAGAGACAGACAAGCAGAUGUCUAACAAAGGAGGAGACAACCAGCAUCGAACAAAUGACCAAGAAAUAGAUGCCUAGUGGGUGAAUUGAUCAGCAAAUGUAUACACGUGUGCAUAAACCAAUCAAUAUCUAAUAUCUAAACUAAUAAAUGUAUGAACAAAUACAUGCCUAAUGAGUGAAUAGACAAAUAUCUCAUGAAUGCGUGGACAAAUCGAUAUCUAAUGAAUGGACAAACAAAUGCAUAUCUAUGAAUGGAUGAACAAAUAAAUAUCGAAUAAAUAAAUGAAUAAAUACCUAAUAGAUAUAUGAACAGAUAUAUCUCUAAUGAGUGAAUAAACAAAUAUCUCAUGAGUACGUGGACAAAGCGAUAUCUAACGAAUGAAUGAACAAAUGCAUAUCUAUGAAUGGAUAAAGAAAUAAACAUCUCAUAAGUGAAUGAACAAGUGGAUGUAUAUCUUGUGAAUGAAUAAACUAAUGCAUAUCUAGAGGCUAAGGGUGGCCCCUUCCAGCCCUGUGAACCCAUGACAUAAGUUCAGCCACAGAUUCUCUUGAAU
RNAcentral lists this long non-coding RNA (1512 nucleotides) under Pan troglodytes (chimpanzee). RNAcentral describes it as "long non-coding RNA NONPTRT000818". Lineage: Eukaryota; Metazoa; Chordata; Mammalia; Primates; Hominidae. The record is from RNAcentral.